AAGAACAGAACCGUUUCUAAUUCAAUGUAUCCUCAGGUCUCAGUUUUGGAUGGACUUGUUUGGAGAUUUAAGAGACUCCGGAAACUUCAACGGAAGCGUUGAGCACCAGUGCUUGCUCAGAUUCUGCUUCACCAGAGUUCUGCAGAAAGACCUGGAUGAAUGCAAAAAUCUCUGGAAUAACCACAGGAUCCGGCCAAGCAGACUUGCAUCAUGUCCUGGGGGGAUUCCAAACGAACUCUAUCUCUUGCCUCACAGAUAUGGUUCAAGAGAUUGUGGAUUUCCUGUUGAGGACAGUGAUCUGGAUGUUUUCCCAGAAGCAAGUCAGGUGACAGAUUUGUGUGGUGAUAAAGACAUCGAGGAAUACCUACAGCAAGUCAUGCAACAACAUGGACAACAGCAGUCACAAAACUGGGAGUCAGCUAUGGAACUGUAUUUAUUCCUCAAACACAUAGCAAGGCUGUAGACACAAACAACCUGAAUAAAUUUUUUUUUAUAUUUUGUGUCCUGUUCAUUUUACUCAAAUGAAAACUCAUUGUUAUGGUAAGAACAUAUAACAUAAAAUAU
Xiphophorus hellerii (green swordtail) is the source of this 564-nucleotide long non-coding RNA. RefSeq lists it as uncharacterized. The transcript has 2 exons. The record is from RefSeq and is a predicted model, not a curated record. Lineage: Eukaryota; Metazoa; Chordata; Actinopteri; Cyprinodontiformes; Poeciliidae.